UGGGGAAUUUUGCGCAAUGGGCGAAAGCCUGACGCAGCAACGCCGCGUGAGUGAAGAAGGCCUUCGGGUUGUAAAGCUCUUUCGGCAGGGAAGAAGGGUGAUGUCGUGAACAAUUACAUCAUCUGACGGUACCUGAAUAAGAAGCACCGGCUAACUCCGUGCCAGCAGCCGCGGUAAUACGGAGGGUGCAAGCGUUGUUCGGAAUUACUGGGUGUAAAGGGCGCGUAGGCGGGCGCGAAAGUCGAUUGUGAAAUCCCCGGGCUUAACCCGGGAACUGCAGUCGAUACUUCGUGUCUUGAGUGCUUGAGAGGAUGGUGGAAUUCCUGGUGUAGAAGUGAAAUUCGUAGAUAUCAGGAGGAACACCGGAGGCGAAGGCGGCCAUCUGGCGAGACACUGACGCUGAGGCGCGAAAGUGCGGGGAUCAAACAGG
RNAcentral lists this ribosomal RNA (430 nucleotides) under uncultured bacterium. Its description in RNAcentral is "partial 16S ribosomal RNA". It matches the Rfam family "Bacterial small subunit ribosomal RNA", at positions 355 to 776 of the family's 1533-position model. The record is from RNAcentral.